Long non-coding RNA from Solanum pennellii, 1536 nucleotides. RefSeq lists it as uncharacterized. The record is from RefSeq and is a predicted model, not a curated record. Lineage: Eukaryota; Viridiplantae; Streptophyta; Magnoliopsida; Solanales; Solanaceae. The transcript has 4 exons.
CACAAUACAAAAUAUCUUCCAUCUAGAAAUUUUCAUCCAACCUUUAAAUAACUCUUCAUCUUCUCUUCAGAACAGAUUGUCCAUCUUCCUGAUAUAUCAAGUUUGUUUAGUCUCCUGUUGUUUCAAUUCCAGAGAAAUCAAUGGAUGAUGAUGAUGAAUGUAGUGCACAUGAAACUAGUGUAGGGGUGAACGAAUCCAAAGGACCUCUACAGAAGAAAAUGAGGCAGUUAAAAUCAUCCUUCUGGAGGUAUUUCAAGAAGAUUGGUAGAGAUAAAGAUAGAGUGGAAAAAGCAAUAUGCAGAGGUUAUAAGGAACCAUAUAAGGUUGGUUCUACUCUUGGACCUAAUGGUAAAAAUUAUGGAGCAUCACAUUUGAAACGUCAUUUAACUAAAUGUAAAAAGGUUAAGUUCUAUGAUUUGGAUCAAAUGUAUAUGGAUCAGCAAGGUAACAUACAAACGAGAAAGAUUGAUCAGUUGAUUUCCUGUGAAAAGCUUGCUUAAGCUAUUAUUGAGCAUGAUCUGCUGUUGAAUAUAAAAAAAUUAGAGCUUGGGUAGAUUAUGUAAAUUCAGAAUUGGUAAUGCCAUCAAGGAACAUUUCUGUUGUGGAUGUCCAGAAAGUGUAUUUCACAGAGAAAGAAAAAUUAAAACAAGCGUUGGCGAAAAUUCCUAAUCGAGUUUGCUUGACUUCUGAUUGUUGGACAGCAGGUGGACUCUUCUUCGGCAAAAAAGCAGGCAGCAACUAUAAAUUUAAAAUUAUGCAACCUCUAUGAUCAGUACGCAAAUAAUAAAAUAGGGGCAACUGCUCCUACUACUCGGUAUAAACCAACUGAAGAAGGAAGUCAAUCCAAACAAAAGAAGUCUACUUUGUUUGCGUUAAUAGGAAUUUAAAGAGUUUGAGGGUACAUCAGUUUGCACUGCUGGAAAGUCAGAAUUGGAUAUUUAUUUGGAUGAAAAGAAGUUCAAUUAUCAGACUUUCAAUGAGAUGGAUGUUAUCAAGCAUUGGAAAGAUAAUGAAAAAAAGUGUUUCAAUUAUCACCGUAGCAUCUGAAUCGGCAUUUAGUAUUGGUUGUUGUGUUGUUACCAAAUAUAGAAACUCUAUCCAUCAUGAAAAUGUUCAAACUCUUGUCACUACCAGAAAUUGGUUGCAUGGAUUUACUCAAUUUGAUGAAGGUGAUAUUUUUCUAUCUAAUCUAUUAGUAUAUUACUCUUCUUAUGAAAGUAUUUGUGAAUAAAUCUUGUAUGGUGAACUGUAGAUGAAGAUAAACAUCUUAAAGAAAUAAUAUCACAUGUUGAUUCAAAUGUGAUCGAUGGUACAAGUGGAAGCAAAAGGGGAGGUGGAGUCGUAACACUUUAAUUAAUGGAUCAUGUAAUAUUUAGCAAUUUAGAUUUAUUAAGUAUUUGGGCUGCUUUGUGUUGCUGGAAAUCUUUUUAAAUCAAUUAGUUUUUUUGUGGCAGGAAUGGUGGGAUGAUAAACAUUUAUCCGCUAAAUCUUACGUUGGCUAUUAUGUAUUUUUAUAAGUAUUCACCAAAGUCUGUG